This is a long non-coding RNA of Brassica napus (rape), 913 nucleotides long. RefSeq lists it as uncharacterized. The record is from RefSeq and is a predicted model, not a curated record. The transcript is spliced from 2 exons. NCBI's taxonomy places the organism in Eukaryota, Viridiplantae, Streptophyta, Magnoliopsida, Brassicales, Brassicaceae.
UCGCGGGGAAGAAGGAGAAGAACACGAAGUGGUCAUGUUCAUUGUGUGAUGUGUUGUUUCGCUUGUGGACAAUAAUGAAUGGAGUUAGUUGAAGAGUUCCGGUUUGCUCGGACCAAUUGGUUUAAACCGGUUCACAUGCUUAGAGAAAUUAGGACGUAUAUACACAAAUUUCACAAAUGUUAGAAAAAUAGCACUGGACUAUUCCAAUUUAUUUUAAUACCAUUUCACCCCUACAACCAAACACGCUUACUCUAUAUCUACUCUACAUAUAAUAUCAGAAGAUAUCACCAGACCCACCUAUUCUUCGUUUGAUCCCUUUCUAAACAGUAAUAUCUCCCAAAUCAUUUUUUUUUUCAUUUAAUCAAAAAUUAUAAUUUUUCUACAGAGACCAAAUCUAGAUAAUUUACCGUCGGCCAUUCCACAGAUUAGUGAGAUUGUCACCACGCCGGAGCCUGUUGUGGUCACUGAUUUUGACAUCAAAUCAGAGUCUGGCUGAAAUGAAUCUCAAGAAGAAGGAGAGGAGAUCGAUGGACCACCCUCCCGCCGAAAAUAGUUCGAUAUUGUGUAAGCCCCACACACGCUAGAGAGCUGGAUGAAAAAUGCAAGGCUGAGAUGAUUUCAAUGGUAGUGGAUGCAACACAUUCUCAGAAGUGCUGACGUGAGAAGACAAGGUUGAUGAGGAACAUGUUGGCAACCUUGUACGACUAAUCGAGCAAGGUCAUGUGUUCAACAAGUCUAUGUACGCUACACUUAGAUUUGCUCCGAAUUUUUCUUUGAUUUUCCAGUGUACCUUACACAAUAACCUAACAAAACGAGUGCAUAGGGGAGAUAAUAGUUGCACAGCUAUUUUAGAACAGUAACCUAGGAUUGUACUUGCGAAGAUCCACCGAAUCAAAAAGUGUUCACUUUUCUC